UUUAUCUUGCCUGUAUUAUAUUCUGAUUUGCUCAGUACUUCUGUCCCUGUGUGCACUGACAGUGAGCUGCUGUAACAGAGAGUUAACCCCUCGGGGAUCAAUAAAGUGUUUCUGAUUCUGAUAGAUGGUAACCUUUGACACAUUGGAUCUGGCAGGCAAAUCGAUGCUUCGACACUCUUCCUGCCCUGCAGCAUUUAAAUCAAACGCACCUUCUGUAAAGAGGCGGGUUGUUCAAAUCUCCGCCCUGUCGGUGUUUGUGGUGCACGUGCACCUGAUAUUAAUUAAGCGUUGGAAACACUUUUCACCACCACUGCCGCUCCUGUAGUAUUACAAACAAGCUAACCUACAGAAAGUCACAUUACGUUGCUUCAGCUUAAUUAUUUUUAGAUGAAUGUGGCUGCGAGCGCCAUUUUGAGCCGGAAGUCCUGGAGUUCCCAGUUUACCUGGAGGUGCUGCUUCACCUUCACAAGGCGCAAAAUAAAUGAUGUUCAGAGUACUCCACUGUGCAGAUAGCCGGCAACCACAACUUUGAGAACAUCAGGAAUUGCUGCAACAGCUCAACUUUGAAAGAUACACCCUGCUCACCUUAAUAAUCCGAGCCAGUCCGAAGUCGGCCACCUUGCAGACCAGAUCGUUACCCACCAGGAUGUUCCUGGCAGCCAGGUCUCUGUGGACGAUGUUUCUGUCCUCCAGCACUCACAGGCGAGGUAGGACUUGAGGCUUCCUUUGCUCAUGAGCUCGGUCACGAUGUAGACCGGCUCUCCUCUGGAGCACAUGGCCAACAGCUGGAUCAGCUUCGGGUGAUGGAGGCUCUUCAAUGCCUGAACCU
Molecule: long non-coding RNA, 829 nt
Organism: Siniperca chuatsi (mandarin fish)
Lineage: Eukaryota; Metazoa; Chordata; Actinopteri; Centrarchiformes; Sinipercidae
Exons: 4
Source: RefSeq, a predicted model, not a curated record